GACGAGGGAUCCUAGCGUUGUUCGGAAUCAUUGGGCGUAAAGCGGAUGUAGGUGGCUUUGUAAGUCAGAUGUGAAAGCCCCGGGCUCAACUCGGGAAGUGCAUUUGAUACUGCGAAGCUUGAGUGCUAGAGAGGUUACUAGAAUACCUGGUGUAGUGGUGAAAUACGUAGAUAUCAGGUGGAAUACCGGCGGCGAAGGCGGGUAACCAGCUAGACGCUGACACUGAGAUCCGAAAGUGUGGGGAUCAAACAGG
RNAcentral lists this ribosomal RNA (253 nucleotides) under uncultured bacterium. RNAcentral describes it as "partial 16S ribosomal RNA". It matches the Rfam family "Bacterial small subunit ribosomal RNA", at positions 524 to 776 of the family's 1533-position model. The record is from RNAcentral.